GAGGGUAUAGCUCAAAGUGGUAGAGUGCAUGCUUAGCAUGCAGGAGGUCCUGGGUUCAAUCCCCAGGACCUCCC
Molecule: transfer RNA, 74 nt
Filed under: Camelus bactrianus (Bactrian camel)
Lineage: Eukaryota; Metazoa; Chordata; Mammalia; Artiodactyla; Camelidae
Also listed under: 2 other names
Rfam family: tRNA
About the family: Transfer RNA (tRNA) molecules are approximately 80 nucleotides in length. Their secondary structure includes four short double-helical elements and three loops (D, anti-codon, and T loops). Further hydrogen bonds mediate the characteristic L-shaped molecular structure. tRNAs have two regions of fundamental functional importance: the anti-codon, which is responsible for specific mRNA codon recognition, and the 3' end, to which the tRNAs corresponding amino acid is attached (by aminoacyl-tRNA synthetases). tRNAs cope with the degeneracy of the genetic code in two manners: having more than one tRNA (with a specific anti-codon) for a particular amino acid; and 'wobble' base-pairing, i.e. permitting non-standard base-pairing at the 3rd anti-codon position.
Source: Rfam by way of RNAcentral